UCAGUCCGCAUGUUCAUGGUGCAUUCUUUAUGGAAUAUGUUGAGCAAACCUGGAGAAGCUUCAGCUCAAGAUAUUAUUGUUGUCAUUGCUGUGGAUCUUUACCUGAUACACUGACUUGGCUCGGGACCAGCACUCCUGCUGUUGGACAGAAAGACAUCAACUCAGUGACUUGAGAUAUGACUGCACUAUGCUGUUGCUGGUGACUCCAGUUAAUUCUACAAGACGUGCUGUGUAAGUAAACAAACAACAACAGUUUGGUCUGCAUUUCUUGAAAGAUCACAUCCCCCAAACUUAGUUUAGAGAGUCUACACUGUAUAUAGUGAAGUCUGCAAGUUUUCUAACAGCAAAA
Long non-coding RNA from Pelmatolapia mariae (spotted tilapia), 349 nucleotides. RefSeq lists it as uncharacterized. The transcript has 3 exons. Lineage: Eukaryota; Metazoa; Chordata; Actinopteri; Cichliformes; Cichlidae. The record is from RefSeq and is a predicted model, not a curated record.